GACGCCAUUGUCGCCGGGUCUGGGUUGUAAAACAUUACAAGGGAACACUGAAACCCGCGGCCAAACUGCAUCCGUAGCCCGCCGCCAGCUAACGAACGCCCCCGAGAACGUUUUCCACUGCGGCCCACUGAAUUGGUCUUUUCACGGGAGCAGGGAGAGGUCCAUCCUCGUUUCAUCUACUCAAAGGAGGCCUGUGGUUCCCAAACAGCUUUUGAGCAACACCACAGAGCAGCUCUAGAAUCACAGAGGAAGUCCUGGCUGGUUGCAUGGACCACUGACAAGAGCCAAGGGAUUACCCAGGUGCAAGCAGGGGACCUCUCCAUCAGAAAACCUGUCAAAGGGCAGUUUCUGAACCCUCCCCAGAGCACCGAUUCAGAACCUCUGAGGAUAAAACCCAGAAAUCUGCUUUUCUUAACAAGCUCCAUCAAGUAAUUUUGAUGCCUGCCAAAAGUCUGAGAAACACGGCUUAAAUGUGAAUGAGUAAUUUGUCCACAGACCCUGACCCUAAAGAGCAGUCUUUCAGAGGUCCCUGGCUUUCAUUGGAUUUUCCAAAGGGAUCCUGAAUAAGAAGCCUGGCCCUUGAGGAAGAAGAUGGAGGGGCAGCCAGCAGCCACGGAAGGAGUCUGACUCCCCUGAGCCCACCACGCUGGGUAGGCCGCAUGCACAUGCUCCAGGGGGACAGCCUAGCUGAGGUCCCAGCCAAAAGCCAGCAUCGACUGCAGGAUUAUGACAGUGUGCCAUCCGGGAAGUCCAGCCUGGUGCCAUCAGCUACCUGCCACCCCAGCCAGCGCCUGGCUGCAGGCAAG
Canis lupus familiaris (dog) is the source of this 806-nucleotide long non-coding RNA. RefSeq lists it as uncharacterized. The transcript is spliced from 5 exons. Lineage: Eukaryota; Metazoa; Chordata; Mammalia; Carnivora; Canidae. The record is from RefSeq and is a predicted model, not a curated record.